This 293-nucleotide ribosomal RNA is filed under the name uncultured bacterium. RNAcentral describes it as "partial 16S ribosomal RNA". The record is from RNAcentral.
GGACUACUCGGGUAUCUAAUCCGGUUCGCUCCCCAUGCUUUCGUGCCUAAGUGUCAGAAAAUCCCCAGCAAGCUGCCUUCGCCUUUGGUGUUCCUUUCGAUAUCAACGCAUUUCACUGCUCCACCGAAAGUUCCGCUUGCCCCUAGAUUCCUCAAGAAAAUCCGUAUCAUUCCCAAGUCUUGGGUUGAGCCCAAGCAUUUAAGGAGUGACGCGAUUCUCCACCUACGCGACUCUUUACGCCCAGUAAUUCCGGAUAAUGCUUGCCACCUACGUAUUACCGCGGCGGCUGGCAC